Molecule: ribosomal RNA, 516 nt
Filed under: uncultured Achromobacter sp.
Lineage: Bacteria; Pseudomonadati; Pseudomonadota; Betaproteobacteria; Burkholderiales; Alcaligenaceae
Description: bacterial SSU rRNA
Rfam family: Bacterial small subunit ribosomal RNA
Source: RNAcentral
UACACAUGCAAGUCGAACGGCAGCACGGACUUCGGUCUGGUGGCGAGUGGCGAACGGGUGAGUAAUGUAUCGGAACGUGCCCAGUAGCGGGGGAUAACUACGCGAAAGCGUAGCUAAUACCGCAUACGCCCUACGGGGGAAAGCAGGGGAUCGCAAGACCUUGCACUAUUGGAGCGGCCGAUAUCGGAUUAGCUAGUUGGUGGGGUAACGGCUCACCAAGGCGACGAUCCGUAGCUGGUUUGAGAGGACGACCAGCCACACUGGGACUGAGACACGGCCCAGACUCCUACGGGAGGCAGCAGUGGGGAAUUUUGGACAAUGGGGGAAACCCUGAUCCAGCCAUCCCGCGUGUGCGAUGAAGGCCUUCGGGUUGUAAAGCACUUUUGGCAGGAAAGAAACGUCAUGGGUUAAUACCCCGUGAAACUGACGGUACCUGCAGAAUAAGCGCCGGCUAACUACGUGCCAGCAGCCGCGGUAAUACGUAGGGUGCAAGCGUUAAUCGGAAUUACUGGGCGU